GACAGAGGGUGCAAACGUUGCUCGGAAUCACUGGGCGUAAAGGGCGUGUAGGCGGGAAGGAUAGUCAGAUGUGAAAGCCCUGGGCUCAACCCAGGAACUGCAUUUGAAACUCCCUUUCUUGAGUGUCGGAGAGGAAAGCGGAAUUCCUGGUGUAGAGGUGAAAUUCGUAGAUAUCAGGAGGAACACCGGUGGCGAAGGCGGGUCUCUGGGCCGAUACUGACGCUGAGGAGCGAAAGCGUGGGGAGCGAACAGG
This 253-nucleotide ribosomal RNA is filed under the name uncultured bacterium. RNAcentral describes it as "partial 16S ribosomal RNA". It matches the Rfam family "Bacterial small subunit ribosomal RNA", at positions 524 to 776 of the family's 1533-position model. The record is from RNAcentral.